ACAUCACCUUGCUCCUGACCUUGCUCACCCAGCCUCUGUGAUGGAAGAGAAAGCAGCUUCCGAGGGGUGAUCUUGGCUGUGAGUACUAGGGUAGGUAUGUGGAAAUGCUAUGGUGUCUCUAGUGCAGGGGUGCCAACCUGUUUUUUAUGAUUUAACCCCAAAGUUGUUGAGCUUUCUUUAGGAUUGAAGUUGUUGAGCUUUUCUGGGGAUUUUUGACCCCAAUAAAUAAACUGCCACAGGGGCUGCAUAAAGGUGGCCCCCAAAACAGACUUUGGACAUGCCUGCUCUUCUGGUGUGACCCACCCUGGCUGGCGAUGAACCCUGGAGUUUAUGGGGAAUCUUGAAAUGGCCUACUCCCACUGAAUCCUUUCUUUACAACAUGGUAAGAAAACUCUUACCACAGUGAUGAAUUAUUAGAACAAUAUUGUGAGGCAGAAUAUUGUGUGGUCCUCUGAGGCAGAAUUGUAUUUUGGUCUUUACUCAGAAAGAGAUAUAUGGUUUACUAAAAUGACUAAAAACAAUCCUAAAAUAUAUCUAGCAAUAAAAGCAGACUUGUAGAACAAUAGACAUAAUAAAAGGAUCAAAAUACAGCUAAAAUCAACAGAGUUUAAGUGCAAAUGCACAUAAAAUCAGGUUUGGUUUGCACAAAUCCAAAGGUUUUCAUCAGAUGUUGGAACAGUGCGAUGAAAGUUGAAGGCGAUUGAGCCGGAUCCGGCCCCCGGGCCUUAGUUUGCCUACCAAUGUGCUAACACAUUUACUGGCUCAAAAAAAAAAAAAAAAAAAAAAAGGAGCCACAUUUACUUGAUCAAAGAGCUCUCCGGGGCUGUACAAAUAAAAUUGUAGUUUAAACACAGCAAAACAAAAAACAACCCCCCCCCCCGAUUCUACAAUAUAUAUAUAUGUGCCCCAUGCUGUAGAAUACACACCUGUUUGAGGUAAGGGGUUUGAGGUAAGGGAUUAUAAUGGGCAAUGUGAUAUAUAUUUCAUUGGAAUGUCGUAAUGACAUGCCCUGCUAGAAGCUCCUCACAUCAUCAGUUAGGGGUAAUGCCAUUGAUUUCUCCUUUUUUUAAAAAAAACAACACAACAUUUUUAUUUGGUUUUACAAAUACAAAGUUAUCCAAACAGAGAUUCCUCUGAAUCUCAGGACUUCCCCUCAUCUCCUCCAUGGGGUCCAAUUUUAAACAUUUAAUACUGCAUAUUCUUUGAUACUCCAACUUUUAUAUCAGUGGCGUAGCGUGGGUUGUCAGCACCCGGGGCAAGGCAAGUAAUUUGCGCCCCCUAACCCCUCCACACUGCACCGCAUGCCCAGCACCGCCCCCCCUCCACAGUGGGCGGCGACCCAGCGGCUCGGAUCGGAUUCGCACAGUCAGCACUGCAGUGAGAGAGAGUGAGUGAGCCAGGUAGGGGCAGAGAGCUGCGCGUGUGAGCGCCCCCCCCCCCCGAUGUUGCGGCCGGUGCGGCUGGCCCACCCUGCACCCCCCACACUACGCCACUGUUUUAUAUCAAUCCAUAAUUAUCCAUGGUAAUUGGUACACAACAAGUGAAAUCAAAAUCCCGCUAAUGUUUCCUUCUGCUUACAGUGGUCUCCUAAAUAGUUUAUAAUUUUUUCCCAUUCUUUUGUAAAGUUUUUAUCCUCUUGGCUGAGGUAAUGCCAUUGAUUCCAAUGGGAUGAACAUCUGCAGGGGUGUACUUAGAGUCAGAGUGUAAAAUAUGUACAGUUUGGAUUCUGCUCCUUCCAAAUCAUCAGGCUCCCUUGACACUGUUAGUGAGCACACAAAACCAAGCAGAGCAUCCUAAGCCUCUUGAAGGUAGAACAGAUCUUAGUUAGAGAGCUGGGGCUCAGCAAGGGAUGGGGCAGAAACCCAUUCAAUUCACAUUUAAAGGUAAACCUGCCCAAUGUGCAAUUUCUAGAAUGAAAUGUGAUUCGAAGCACAGUCAUACUUCUCUGAAAUUUGCAAUGCAAUUCUUCAGCCCAGUAAUGUGUACCAAAAUGCAUAUACAGUGGUACCUCGGGUUACGUAUGCUUCAGGUUACGUACACUUCAGGUUACAGACUCUGCUAACCCAGAAAUAAUACCUCGGGUUAAGAACUUUGCUUCAGGAUGAAAACAGAAAACGUGCUCCAACGGUGCGGCGGCAGCAGGAGGCCCCAUUAGCUAAAGUGGUGCUUCAGGUUAAGAACAGUUUCAGGUUAAGAACGGACCUCCAGAACGAAUUAAGUACGUAACCCGAGGUACCACUGUACGAGGGCAAAGUUUCAGGAAACUCAAAUUCAAUCAUUCCUCCUUAAAUGUGAACGCAAUCUAAUUUCUCCCCCAUCCGGAGUUGAAUGUCAUUUGCGAAUUUUGUUUUGCCCCUGCAGAAAAGACCAGAGUUGACUAUCCAUCCAUGCCUUAUGCCAAUUCUUCAGCUGUGCGGGAGUUCUACCUGGUGGGGUUCCCCACAGAACCUUCCACGCAGUUGCUUCUCUUCUUCCUGGUGUUGACCAACUACCUCAUCACACUCUCAGGGAACACGGUCAUCAUCUGCAUCACUCUGUCCGACCAUCGCCUGCAGAGCCCCAUGUACUUCUUCCUCCGCAAUUUCUCCUUUGCAGAAAUUUGGUUCACGACGGUGACGGUGCCUAAGCUUUUGGCCGGGUUCCUCUGGGGAAGCCACACCAUCUCCUUCGCUGGUUGCAUGACUCAAUGUUACUUCUACUUUCUCCUCGGGGCUACUGAGUUCUUGCUUUUAGGAGUCAUGUCCUUUGACCGCUAUCAAGCCGUGUGCAACCCCUUGCGCUACCCAGCACUGAUGACCAGGAAGUUCUGCCUUAAGUUGGUCUGUGGGACAUGGGUAGCAGCCUUCUUCACUAUCCUUGGCCAGCUCAUCAUGGUCACUGGUCUACCCUACUGUGACUCCAACGUCAUCAACCAUUUCUUCUGCGACCGCACGCCCUUGGUGAACCUGGCUUGCACCGACACCGAAUGGGUGGAGACCAUCAACUUGGUUCUGGCUGGGGGGCUCAUCCUCGGAUCCUUGGUUCUGACUGUCAUCUCCUAUUGUUUGAUCACCCUGGCUGUUCUGAGGAUCCCCUCCGUGCAAGGUCGAAGCAAGGCCUUCUCCACUUGCGCCUCCCACAUGGUUGUGGUCACCAUCGUAUACGGCAGCCACAUCUUCAUGCAUGUCCGCACCACACACACCUAUACUGAAAGGGUGGACAAAGUGGUGGCUCUUUUGACUAGUGUGGUGGCCCCAUCACUCAACCCCUUCAUCUACACCCUGCGGAAUGAGAAGGUCAAGGAAGCCCUUCUAGAUGCUGCAAGGAAGAGAGGACUGUUCCUCAAGGAAGAAGUAAAGGAAAAGACUGGGAAAAACUUUCACAAAAUUGUGGCGGGUGAGAUGUGAAGCUGCUGGUGUGACCAGAUGUAGGUUUGGGGGUCCUGCUACAUUUCCACAGGGAAGGACAGGAGCUCCUUCACUGAGUACCUUCAAGGCAAUGUUGGACUAAUUUCUAUUUAUGAAACAAGCAUAUUCUGCUUUCUUCCCCAGAGC
This is a non-coding RNA of Podarcis lilfordi (Lilford's wall lizard), 3533 nucleotides long. The record is from the annotation of a GenBank genome assembly. NCBI's taxonomy places the organism in Eukaryota, Metazoa, Chordata, Lepidosauria, Squamata, Lacertidae.